This 433-nucleotide ribosomal RNA is filed under the name uncultured bacterium. RNAcentral describes it as "partial 16S ribosomal RNA". It matches the Rfam family "Bacterial small subunit ribosomal RNA", at positions 29 to 507 of the family's 1533-position model. The record is from RNAcentral.
AACGAACGCUGGCGGCAUGCCUAACACAUGCAAGUCGAACGAGACCUUCGGGUCUAGUGGCGCACGGGUGCGUAACGCGUGGGAACCUGCCCUUAGGUUCGGAAUAACUCCCCGAAAGGGGUGCUAAUACCGGAUAAUGUCUUCGGACCAAAGAUUUAUCGCCUUUGGAUGGGCCCGCGUUGGUUUAGCUAGUUGGUAGGGUAAAAGCCUACCAAGGCGACGAUCCAUAGCUGGUCUGAGAGGAUGAUCAGCCACACUGGGACUGAGACGCGGCCCAGACUCCUACGGGAGGCAGCAGUGGGUAAUAUUGGACAAUGGGCGAAAGCCUGAUCCAGCAAUGCCGCGUGAGUGAUGAAGGCCUUAGGGUUGUAAAGCUCUUUUACCCGGGAUGAUAAUGACAGUACCGGGAGAAUAAGCUCCGGCUAACUCCGUG